Molecule: long non-coding RNA, 261 nt
Organism: Brachypodium distachyon (stiff brome)
Lineage: Eukaryota; Viridiplantae; Streptophyta; Magnoliopsida; Poales; Poaceae
Exons: 4
Source: RefSeq, a predicted model, not a curated record
CACAUCUCCGCCCCUCCUCCGCCCCUUGCAACGCUCGUCCAGGAGCAGUACAAGCUAGGUUUGGGUGCUAAGGUGGAAGCAACAAAGAAGGGAUACCCGUGCUAUUGUUUUAUCAUACACAGACGAAGUGUGCAUUGCGACCCUUAGGAGAGGAUACUGCACCUAGCUUCUACCAAUGAUUAGAGGUAUAUGUUCAACCCCUCUUUGUCAUGCAUCUACCUUUGCUCAUGUGAAUGGUGAUAUUUGUUGCUUAUGGGUUGC